Molecule: non-coding RNA, 649 nt
Organism: Lolium perenne
Lineage: Eukaryota; Viridiplantae; Streptophyta; Magnoliopsida; Poales; Poaceae
Source: RefSeq, a predicted model, not a curated record
CAAAUAUUAUGUCUGUUCUGGAUAUAAUCCUUAGUUGGCAGUAUUCUGAUAGCAUGAAACUGUAAUAAGUUGUAAUUAUCCAUGAGUAGUAUACAUAAGAUAUUAUAUCAACAGACAUAUAUCCACAUUGUCCUCCAAUUGUUUGUACUGAAUCUAUUUUUACUUAUUUUUUUAGAAUAACAGUGAUCGCUCCCUGGCUCCCUUUUCAUUGAAAACGAAACCAUACAUUCUUUCUUUCUUUCUUAGUUUCUUAUAACUGGAUACAAUUGUUUUAUCUCUCAGCAGAUAAAACUGACUGAAGGAUGUCAUUGCCUCAUGAAUUUUGUCCCAAUAACUUCCGUCGAUGGGGUCUUCGGAUUUCAAAGCUCGGUGGAUCCGUAAUUGUUGGAUAUUUGAAAGACCUCGUGUAUCGGUUGCUCACAACAUAGUGGAAAGGACAAGACACGUAUAUGUAUGACAGCUAUACGACGAACUCUGUUAGAGUGACUUUUCUUGUGUUUUUUCACUUUAAGUUGCACAAAAUGUGCCAACGUUUCUGGAUUUACAGUUCAAGUAUGUACACAAUUCUUGGUUUAUGAGCAUCUUGAUGAACCGUGGCUGCUGCAACAUGUAUGUUGGCAAACAACAAUGUUUUGUUGCAAUAGUUUUA